This 68-nucleotide transfer RNA is filed under the name Curculionidae sp. BMNH 1040049. Its description in RNAcentral is "tRNA-Lys". It matches the Rfam family "tRNA". From Rfam's summary of the family: Transfer RNA (tRNA) molecules are approximately 80 nucleotides in length. Their secondary structure includes four short double-helical elements and three loops (D, anti-codon, and T loops). Lineage: Eukaryota; Metazoa; Arthropoda; Insecta; Coleoptera; Curculionidae. The record is from RNAcentral.
CAUUAGAUGGCUGAAAAAGUGCUGGUCUCUUAAACCGUCUUAUAGUAAUUAAAAUUUACUUCUAAUGA